Molecule: ribosomal RNA, 253 nt
Filed under: uncultured bacterium
Lineage: Bacteria
Description: partial 16S ribosomal RNA
Rfam family: Bacterial small subunit ribosomal RNA
Source: RNAcentral
UACGAAAGGGGCUAUCGUUGUCCGGAAUUACUGGGCGUAAAGCGCAAUUAGGCGGCCUUGUAAGAUGGGGGUGAAAUCCAUGGGCUCAACUCAGGAACUGACUUCAUGACUGCAAAGCUCGAGGAUGUGAGAGGUUGGCGGAAUUCCGAGUGUAGAGAUGAAAUUUGUAGAUAUUCGGAAGAACACCGGUGGCGAAGGCUGCCAACUGGAACAUUUCUGACGCUGAGGUGCGAAAGCGUGGGGAGCAAGCAGG